UCAAUGUCAAAAAGAUGCCACAAUAUCCUUGUGGCACUAUAAAAUAAACAAACAUCAUAAAAACGGCAAUUGGCUUAUUAAAGGUCGAAUUCGCAUACAUCACAAAUUAUCCAUAAGUUGUAAAUAUGGAGCUUCAAGAAAGUAACCUUUUCUUUCACGAUUUAUGUCGCUUGUGCCUGGUAAAUGUAGGUACAACAUUUAUAGAUGAAGAUCUACAACAAAAUGUUUUUAUUUGUACCGGUGUUGAAGUAUCAGUUGCAGAUAAUCUUCCAAGUAAAAUUUGCGUGACGUGCAACGUAAUUUUAAACAAAGCCAUCGAAUUUCGAGAAGCUGUAACCAAUAAUGAUUCUCUCUUAAAAUCUCUGUAUGACAAGACUAACAACGAAGAAAUAAUUGAAUACAGCAUAGUAAUUAAGGAAGAAAAUGAAGAUUCAAAUGAGGACACUGAAAACAAUUAUUGUGAACAAGAAACUCUUGACAAUUCAAAUACAAAUGAUAAUUACACUUAUUCAUGCAUUGUAAAUUUAACGUCAAAUUCUACACCACUGGGCACUUUAACAAUCAGAAAGGAUCUAUUUCCAAAUUCAGUACAGGAAAAACAGAAAGAAAGAAAUAACUAUAAAGAUAAAGAUACAAUGAAAAGUCCUACAAAUCAAGAUAAAUGUGAGGAAACACACAAAGAUAAGGUUAAUUAUAAAAAGAAAGUUCAAACAAAACCUGAAUGCGAGGAAAAAGAUAUUAUUGUUCAUAAAUGUCAGAAAUGUGGUAAAACUUUUGACACAUGGAGAAAAUUGUACCACCACACAAGACAGCAUAUGAAAACUAAAGAGUGUGAUGAUUGUGGCAAAAUGUUUUACUCCAAAUCAGAUUUAGAGAAGCAUAUAAGAAUACAUACAGGAGUGAGACCCUAUCAAUGUAAUCUAUGUAAGAAAAGUUUUACACAAAAAUGUACUUUGACCAGUCAUAAAUUUGCUGUACAUUGAUUGUAAGGGUCCAUACAAACUGAUUAUUACAAGUGUCAUAGUCAAACAAAAAUGUUCUGUCAAAAAAUAUGUAAAAUCUAAAACUUAGAUAAUUGCAAGAUUCAUAAAAAUACCGAAAGCAUCAUUUAAUUUGAUUUAUUCCAAGCUUAAAUAAAUUUACAGUUUUUUUACUCCUGAUUGAAGACAUGGAAAGUAAAAUUAAACCUUGUUACAAUUGUAUAAAAUUCAAUUUUAUUUGAAAUUAAGAAUCUGCUCUGUUUUUCCCUGGUCUAUGUGAAAGGACUCCAAUUUUGACCGACUUCCCAAAAGAAGGAGGUACUCAAGUCGUCUGUAUGUUUUUUUUUUAAUAUAUUGUUUUUGUUUUUUGAAAAGAUAAAUCCAUUAGUGACACAGUAGAGGUAAAUUAAGGACAUGAUUUAAAAAAAUGUGAUAGAAAAAAAAACACUGAUUAUUGAUUGUAUGUAACCUGUAAUGUAGGUAACUGUUAAAUAUAACACGACUAAUAUGAUUAUACCCUGUGAAUAUUGGAAAAUUGUAUUUAGUCGGAUUAUAGAUCUUGGACAACA
Papilio polytes (common Mormon) is the source of this 1549-nucleotide RNA transcript. It is a transcript of the gene named zinc finger protein 33A-like, with no coding region annotated. The transcript has 8 exons. The record is from RefSeq and is a predicted model, not a curated record. NCBI's taxonomy places the organism in Eukaryota, Metazoa, Arthropoda, Insecta, Lepidoptera, Papilionidae.